GGAUCUGUAGUUCAGUUGGUUAGAACGUUCGAUUCACAUUCGAAAGGUCAGAGGUUCGAGUCCUCUCAGGUCCA
Molecule: transfer RNA, 74 nt
Filed under: Patescibacteria group bacterium
Lineage: Bacteria
Description: tRNA-Val
Rfam family: tRNA
About the family: Transfer RNA (tRNA) molecules are approximately 80 nucleotides in length.
Source: RNAcentral